This 409-nucleotide ribosomal RNA is filed under the name bacterium. Its description in RNAcentral is "partial 16S ribosomal RNA". It matches the Rfam family "Bacterial small subunit ribosomal RNA", at positions 355 to 776 of the family's 1533-position model. The record is from RNAcentral.
UGGGGAAUAUUGCACAAUGGGCGAAAGCCUGAUGCAGCGACGCCGCGUGAGGGAUGACGGCCUUCGGGUUGUAAACCUCUUUCAGCAGGGACGAAGCGCAAGUGACGGUACCUGCAGAAGAAGCACCGGCUAACUACGUGCCAGCAGCCGCGGUAAUACGUAGGGUGCAAGCGUUGUCCGGAAUUACUGGGCGUAAAGAGUUCGUAGGCGGUUUGUCGCGUCGUUUGUGAAAACCAGCAGCUCAACUUCUGGCUUGCAGGCGAUACGGGCAGACUUGAGUACUGCAGGGGAGACUGGAAUUCCUGGUGUAGCGGUGAAAUGCGCAGAUAUCAGGAGGAACACCGGUGGCGAAGGCGGGUCUCUGGGCAGUAACUGACGCUGAGGAACGAAAGCGUGGGUAGCGAACAGG